CUUGAAACUCAAAGGACUUGACGGUGUCCCAUAUCGACCUAGAGGAGCCUGUCCUAUAAUCGAUACCCCCCGUUCCACCCAACCCCAACUAGCAAAUAUAACAGCCUAUAUACCGCCGUCGACAGUUUACCCUAUGAAGGCCUAAUAGUAGACACAAUAGCCAUUAACGCUAGCACGUCAGGUCAAGGUGUAGCAAAUGUUGGGGAAGAGAUUGGCUACAUUUUUUAUGAUAAAAAAUACGGAUUGCACUAUGAAAUACUGCAUGAAGGUGAAUUUAGUAGUAAAACAGACAAGAGUGUCUGUUUUAAC
RNAcentral lists this ribosomal RNA (309 nucleotides) under Podarcis hispanicus (Iberian wall lizard). RNAcentral's name for it is "partial 12S ribosomal RNA". The record is from RNAcentral. Lineage: Eukaryota; Metazoa; Chordata; Lepidosauria; Squamata; Lacertidae.